AAUCAACGCUGGCGGCGUGCCUCAGACAUGCAAGUCGAACGAUUAAAGCUCUCUUCGGAGAGUGCAUAGAGUGGCGCACGGGUGAGUAACACGUAAGUAAUCUACCUUCGAGUGGGGAAUAACGUCCGGAAACGGACGCUAAUACCGCAUAAUGCAGCGGCAUCGCAAGAUGACAGUUGUUAAAGGAGCAAUUCGCUUGAAGAGGAGCUUGCGGCAGAUUAGCUUGUUGGUAAGGUAACGGCUUACCAAGGCUACGAUCUGUAACCGGUCUAAGAGGACGGUCGGUCACACUGACACUGAAUAACGGGUCAGACUCCUACGGGAGGCAGCAGUCGGGAAUUUUGGGCAAUGGGGGAAACCCUGACCCAGCAACGCCGCGUGAAGGAUGAAGUAUUUCGGUAUGUAAACUUCGAAAGAAUAGGAAGAAUAAAUGACGGUACUAUUUAUAAGGUCCGGCUAACUACGUGCCAGCCGCCGCUGU
Molecule: ribosomal RNA, 481 nt
Filed under: uncultured bacterium
Lineage: Bacteria
Description: bacterial SSU rRNA
Rfam family: Bacterial small subunit ribosomal RNA
Source: RNAcentral